AAAAGUGCUUUUGUUUGACCAAUGCAAUCUUUUCAACUUUCACUUGCUAACAAUAGCUGAUUGCUUUCAUCAAAAACUCAUGUCACAAUAACUAUGCACUAAAUUCUUAACCUGGUUGAUAGUUGCCUAUGAAGAGCUAUUGGAAGUGAAACAACCCUGCUGUGGAAUGUUUUUGUUUUUGCAUACUAUAAAGAGGAGCCAUCAAAGGAUCCUGCUACCCCAUCCUAGAAGGAGAAUGGACAAAUAUUAACAUUCUGACUACCAAUUGUCCAGUUGUCUCUUAAAGGAAUGUCUCUAAGAUUCUUCUAGAAAAGGGGAAAGCAGACACCAAAGAGGUGCACAUAUAAAAGCAUCUCCUUCAUCCUGAAUCUGAUAUUCAAAUGGCUGAUAAGAAGAAUGAUGAAGAGAGAAAUGUCAGCAUUCUCAUACACAGAAGAGAUUUAAUUUUAUUUAUAAGUAAAAAAGAUUAAAAUCUUAAAAAAAGAAAGUAUUGUAUUUCCCUGACCAUUUAAAGAAUCUAAACCUGACGUCAAAAUCAGCAGUCUUUCAUUGCCUCUGUUUUACCUAACUCACAGAUUCUCUACCCUAACCCUAAGAUGCUCCACUAGAAUUACCUGGGGACACUUUAAAAAAAUUUUUUUUCAACGUUUAUUUAUUUUUGGGACAGAGAGAGACAGAGCAUGAACAGGGGAGGGGCAGAGAGAGAGGGAGACACAGAAUCGGA
Long non-coding RNA from Prionailurus viverrinus (fishing cat), 724 nucleotides. RefSeq lists it as uncharacterized. The record is from RefSeq and is a predicted model, not a curated record. Lineage: Eukaryota; Metazoa; Chordata; Mammalia; Carnivora; Felidae. The transcript is spliced from 3 exons.